Long non-coding RNA from Helianthus annuus (common sunflower), 3879 nucleotides. RefSeq lists it as uncharacterized. The transcript has 3 exons. NCBI's taxonomy places the organism in Eukaryota, Viridiplantae, Streptophyta, Magnoliopsida, Asterales, Asteraceae. The record is from RefSeq and is a predicted model, not a curated record.
UUAAAUCGAAAAGAUUAAAGAAACCACUAGGGUAGUUCCUUCCUUUUAUCCCUCACCACAUGAUAUCUUGAUGUUUAUCACUAAUAAUUAUGGAAACUCAAAGAAGACAAAAAACAAGUGGAGAAGAUAGAAAUGAUGACUGAUGGUCGUAUCUUCAUCUUUCUUUUAUAAAUUGAAUCAUGAACACACAUCACUCUUGGGAAGCUUUCUUCAUGAUCAUGUUAUCACAAACCAGAAAAGUGUUACUAAUUUAUGUAUGGAUCAAGUAAUGAUUUAGCAUGACCGUUUUAGUUUAUUUCGUUAUUAUCAUCUAUUCUUGUGGCACGAGAAAGAGAAGUUUGGUUGAGAACUGACAGAAGAGAGUGAGCACAGGCCGGCAACUGUAUACGGAGAUUAUACUCUUGUUGGAGUUAUGCGUGUGCUCACUUCUCUUUCUGUCAGGGUCCUAUUCUUUCUUUCGUGUUGAUUUUUUGUGUGUUCUUUUUUUUUUUUUUUUUUGUGUGUGUGUUAGUGGUAGUAUAUAUACUAAUAUAUAUCAUGUGGGUAUGUGUAUUUUUUCAUGUUUAUGGGCAUGAAAAUGGAAAACUGGAGAAGGUGCAGUAGAGAUGGACGUACACCUGGCUAUUGGGAUCUAUCUAUCAAUCAAAACAAUACCAUCACACCACUGUGCCAAUGAAAAAGCUGCAAUCUUUUAUGACACCACCACCUCUUCAUUCUUAUCUCUUUAUCUCUCAAAGUUUUCUCUUCUUUGGCUGUAUCUUUAAACAUAUUAAUAUACGGUGAUCACAAAUAGUUAAAUCAACAACAGAAGAAGGGGGUCACAGGGGAUGGUAGUAAUCGAUAAAGAUAGAGAUAAUGUCACCUGCUGGUUCCUGCAAGAUUUGUACUAUCUUUUAUUUUUAUUUUUUUCAUUAAGUUUUUUAUAUUAUUAUUAUAGUAUAUAUUCAACUUGGAAGUUCUAAAACCUAUACUUUCUUUGUUAUUUGGGAGGACGAAAUGGUGUUCUUAUGAAAUCAUGAACAAGUUUGCAUUGGAAAUGCAUGCCAGCAGAAAGAGGAAAGUUUUUGCUAUCCAUUCGUGCAAGAAAGAUAUAAAGUGAAAAAUUCAGGUUGCUCCUAGCUUGAAGAGUGAGGAUUUGGCAUGAAGUAUUUGGGAAUGGCUAACUCUUGAUACGGUUUGGCGAUAUUAGUGACCUUAAAAUCUUAAAUUAUGUAAGCCCUACAAAAUUUUCAUCAAGAAAAUUGGCCCUUAAAUAUACCCUGUAUGAACUUGUUACUAGUUCUAGAAACUAAGAGUUUCCAGUAUUAUUGAACACCAAUUUUCCUAACUCCUUACUAUUUUUCUAGUUCCAAAUUUUAACACCAUAGACAAUAGAAAUUAUGGAAAACUGAGUCGAAUUGCCUGAUACUAGGCUAUUAAGUAAAUAUAAGACCAACUAAGCUCGAGCUCGGCUUGUCUUUUAAUUGUAUUUCGAAUGAUUGUGCUUGGCUUUUAUUCUACUCAUUUAUUUUUAUUAAUUAAAUUACACACAUAUACAAUUAUCUUAUAUAUUUUUUAAUUAUAGUUUUUCUAUAUUAUAUAUAUAUAUAUACACACAUACAUACAUAUUUAAUGUAUUAAACAGAAAAUAUAUAAAUAAUAAUAAGCUCGUUUAAUUGGGUUUGAGAUCCAGCUCGAGCUACAUAAGUGAAGCUCGGAUUCGAGCUCAGGCUCAUUUAUUGGAUAAGUUUAUUUUUAGACUCGAGCAAAUUUGAGGUCGGCAUGAUUUAAGUUUUUAGGCGAGUCAAUAUCUUGUAACUCAUUAAUGGUUUGGCUUGUCCACACAUCCUUAAGCGUUAUAGUAAUUGGUCAAAGUGGGACAUCUUAGAGUUUGAUUGGCAUUUGGUACAUCAGAUUUUCUAAACACAAUAAAGACAUAUUUAGGUUAAGAUGUGCAAGUUUGGAACCAUAUCCCUUGUCUUUACGUGUAAUCUUCUGCAUUUUGCUAUGUGUAUAUACGUGGAGGGUUACACGUCCAUUGUAAUUACAAGAAACAGAUAUUAUGACUCACCUCCAUUGGGUAUUAGAGCUAAAACUCUGUAUAAUAUAAAACCCUACCGUCACUUGAUACAAACCCAAAAUCGUGAGCCGUCACACUGUCCCUGUUCAAUCGAAGUUACAGUUCCUACACCAUGCCAUAUGUGUCCGACGAAGAAGAGCAAAGCCAAUGAAGCAUGUCUAAAAUUAACCAACCCCUUCGCUUGCUACCAAAAACACCGGUUCUUUUUACUUAUUCCAGUCAUGUACUCAUGUCCCUAUUCUAGUCUUCUGCUAACUCGUCAGAUUCUGUCAGUUGCAGAUUUGAUUCCAAGUUCAAGCCCCACCGAUAUCUAAUCCUUUGAGAAAUUUCCAUAGAUCGUUGUAAGUCACCCAGUGACACUGACGGAGACAGAAAUUUUUUCUUGUGGUGUUAUUUUUUAUGGAUACCCCGGUUUAUAGUAAACCGGAGUCGAAUUUUUUGGAUCGGUUCGGAUCUAGUCGGGUCAAAUUUACAUAAUAAAAGCAAAUAUCACAGUAAAAGUAUAAUGUUAUUGAAUAAAAACACAUAAUAAAAUUUAUACAUUUCUAUUUAAAAGAUUUGAAUUGCAUAUCAUCCUAAGUAAAAUAUUUAAUUUAAAUACUCCUAAAUUUAAUAUUUUUGAACAAUUAAUUAUACUCUUCUACACUCAUAAUUAUUAUUCAUUCAUCUUCGCCUAGGUUUGAAGCUACGACCUCCCGUUAAGAGACAUGUGUCUCUACCAAAUUGGCUAACCCGCAUUACGUACCUUCCGAAUUAUAUAUUAUCAAUUACAUACUUACCGAAUUAAAAUAUUCUAAUCACUUUCUAAUUGUCAAAUUAAGUCAAUGUAAAAUCAAAAUUGAGAGAGAAUCUAUGUUGGUAUUCAGUUUUUUUAACAGAAAAGAUAGUCAUUUUUAUUGAUUGCAGAAACAAGAGCAAAAUUCCUAGAUGAGUACACAAUAUUACAACCCAAAAAAAAAAAACCCAAAAAAAAAAAAAAAAACAAAACAACAGAAACCCCUUAACAAAACAUAAUUAGUGUUCAGUUAUACAAAUUAGAUGAUUAUACACAUUACAACCCAAAAAAGCAUAAUUAGUGUUCAAGUAUACUAAUUUCUUUUGUUUUUUUAGUUUUAUGCUAUGAAAAUUGAUAUAAAUUCAAGCUCAAACUAAACAAAAAUAUUUAAGACCAUUUUACUCAUUAGUAAUUAAACUUAAAACAAAGCCCCCUAUCCCAUUUAACUGGUAGGCCCAAUAAAACCAUUAGACCAUUUUAGUCAUUAGUUAAACAUUGGUUUUGGCCGACGCAACAAGUUUACCGGGCCUAACCCGAACCGUAACAUCUGUUUUUAAUAUUUAGCGAUAGAUAUAUGACUAACCUUCAAAUAUUCCGCACCCCGCAUGAAAAAAAAAAUUGGGUCCGCUACUGAAUAUAAGUGAACACUAAUGAAGUGUAAUGUGAGCCAUCACUACAAUCUAUCUAUCUUCUAUGUUCAAAUCACUUCCGUAUUUUAUAUCUACCAAGGAGCAAUGGAUAAAUGUAAGAGAUGGAGCAACACAAAGAAAUAACUUUGGCUAAAGCUUGGAUUGGAACAUCGUGUGACAGAUGCAUAGGAAUCAAUAAUGUCUUGAUUCUUUUUGGUAAAGGAUUCAAAUAAAAUUUGCAGUCAUUUCCGGUCUCGGAUCAAAGUGUUUAUCAAUUUAACUCAAAAUAGAGGAUGAUGAACAAGACGAAGAAGGAUGAUUUGCAUUUUUUUUUCGUUGCACCACAUGAUCACUUGACCUGUAGUAGUUAUGUAUUAGUUUUUAAAAGCUAAUGUUUAUAUUGUUAUGUGUGAGUU